GGUCUUAUAUUCAAAAUUGAUUUUAAAUUGCAAAUUUAAAGGUGGAAUGUAAUCCUAAGGCUU
Molecule: transfer RNA, 63 nt
Filed under: Dryops ernesti
Lineage: Eukaryota; Metazoa; Arthropoda; Insecta; Coleoptera; Dryopidae
Description: tRNA-Cys
Source: RNAcentral